ACACUUGUGAAGAAAUUUGCUGGAAAUUAAUGGAAUUGCUGACUUUUUACAGUCAGGCUGCCUACCUGAAAUUUUGGACUUAGUUCUUAAAGGUAAAAAGGUGCAAUUUUGAAGUGCUCAAAAUCUGUUCUUGUAUUUCAUAAUCGAGAACUUCUGUGUCAAGUAAGAAAUACUCUUCACACACUAUAUUUUUUUUGAGGGAAACAGAUAGUGCUAUUCAGAAAUAGUCAUUCUGAAAUUUCUUAUUAAUUGGUCACCAAAGGGUGGACAUAUAGAGGAGAACAUUUACAUGCAUGGUGUUUUAAUUAUAAAAUUAAUUUUUAUCUAGAAAUAUUAAAGUAAUUUAUUAAAUACAGACUGAUUAUGGAUUUUUAGCAGACAAAACCAAUUACUGUUUACUCUGUGCCUUGAGGCCUUGCUCUUUUCACAUACUAUUCUUUUUUUUUUUCCUGAGUUUCGCUCUUGCUGCCCAGGCUGGAGUGCAAUGGUACAAUCUUGGCUCACUGCAGCCUUUGCCUCCUGGGUUCAAGUGAUUCUCUUGCCUCAGCCUCCUGAGUAGCUGGGACUACAGGCAUGUGCCACCACACCCGGCUAAUUUUUGUAUUUUUGGUAGAGACAGGUUUCAUCGUCUUGGUCAGGCUGGCCUCGAACUCCUGACUGCAGGUGGUCCACCUGCUUCGGCCUCCCAAAGUGCUGGGAUCACAGGCAUGAGCCACCGCACCUGGCCUUCACACACUAUCGUUUAAUCCUCAAUAUCUGUAAACUUUGGUGACACAUCCAUUUAAAAUUCAAAAAACCAUCUUGGCUUAGCACAUGACUGAAAAUGAAAAAAUAUCAAGGCAACCACAACAUGUCAUGCUUUUUCUUCUUUUGAAACAUCAUCACAGUUGAUAAUUGGUUUACUGUUUAUGACUUUUCUGCUAGACUGUAGUCUCCAUGAAAGCAGGAUACUUACUAGGUUUUUCUUAUUCACCAUGGUAUCCCCACCUAGCACAGUUUCCAGCAACAUUGAGUAGUCAGUAUGUAUUAAUCAAAUAAAUAAAAUAAUAAAUAAAUAAAUGUGUUCAUAA
This 1070-nucleotide long non-coding RNA is filed under the name Homo sapiens (human). RNAcentral's name for it is "non-protein coding lnc-STAP1-15:1". Lineage: Eukaryota; Metazoa; Chordata; Mammalia; Primates; Hominidae. The record is from RNAcentral.